UUCAGCUUCAUGACAGAUCCUCAGCAGUUUGAUGCCUAUCAAGACUAACCCCUACUAUGGAUGUGUGAAAAGUUUAAUUCCAUCACAGAAGUAAGAAGAAAAGAAUCAAGCAUCCAAAAUGCAUUUGGUGUAUUGCAGUAAUAAAGUCUAGAGACAGUUGACUGCUUCUGAGGUACUGGUACAAUGAAGUCCUGGGGAUGGUAUAAAUAGAAGUUAAAAGAGCCAUGAAGAAACUGGAGAAAUUAAGCAAGCAUUUCAUCAGGGACUUGGUUUGGGCACUCUGCUGUGAAUUACAAGGGACUAAUAUAAGAAAUUAAAAAGAAGAAGAUUCUCUGGUGUAGUGAAAAGAAAAUGUGUGUUCCCUACCACAAACUGGGUAAAACAGUGGCCCUUGUUUUGAAUUGCACCCCGUGAUUAGAGUAAUCUCAUGAGGGAGCAGCAAGAGCAGCCUGUUCCAUGAAGGGAGGCAAGAUGAGAAUCAAAAAUGAAACCAGAUGGGUAAAGCAGUCAUCUCACUGAUAAGGAAUCAGCAAGGUGCGCUGGAAAAAGGUUCUUCAAUUACAAUCAAAUGGAGACACAAAAUCUUAAUUUCACCAGGAUCAUAGAAGCAAUCCAGAAUUCUGAGCUCUAGCCCUGCCUUGGUUUAUGACAUCUUAACUCACUGAGUUAAAUUCCUAUACUCAAAGUUAUUUCAGCAUUUGAUAUCUGCAUGAUUUCUGCUUGAAAAAAAAGAAGACUGUUGUUUACUUGAACAUGAUAUCCUUAAAAUUUUCCAGAGUUCUCUCUUGUAGAUAAAUGUUGAAGGUUUUCUAUACUCUUACACCUUGCU
Molecule: long non-coding RNA, 829 nt
Organism: Zonotrichia leucophrys gambelii
Lineage: Eukaryota; Metazoa; Chordata; Aves; Passeriformes; Passerellidae
Exons: 4
Source: RefSeq, a predicted model, not a curated record